CAACCAACCCUCCAUGCACCUGACCUCUUUUUUUAGGACGUAACUAUGACAAGGAUGGUGACCUGAAGGACUGGUGGACACCAGACUCCACUCAAAGAUUCCUGGAGCUGUCAAAGUGCAUUGUCGAUCAGUAUGGCAACUUCUCUUGGGACCUGGCAAAUGGACUUCAUUUAAAUGGCAACGACACCCUCGGGGAGAACAUUGCUGACAAUGGAGGGAUACGACAAGCAUACCAGGCCUACAGGAACUAUGUGAAGGUGCACGGAAAGGAGCCACCGCUCCCUGGCAUCGACCUUUCCCACGAUCAACUCUUCUUCCUAAACUUUGCUCAGGUGUGGUGUGGAACAUACCGACCAGAGCAAGCUGUUAAUACAAUUAAAGUAGAUGUACACAGUCCAGGGAAGUUCAGGGUUCUGGGCUCACUUCAGAAUUUCCCAGAAUUUGCCAAAGCAUUCAACUGCAACAAGAGCAACUACAUGGUCCCUGACAACAUCUGUCGUGUGUGGUGAGCCACAGAUUUCAGCAACGGGGGCUAUUCUGAUGUGGGUCAUCCCCGUACCCCCUACGGCACCUCUCCCCUCUGACUGUUGGAGCACACAUGGGGGGCUCCAGGAAAGUGAAAGCUCUCCUUGGCUCUCUACUGGAGGGCUGGUGGACUGACACUGCAGUAUGCACUUCUUCUUAGGACAGCAGCAGACUCUACCCGCACAGACAGAGACAGACAGACCUGCCUCUCCAACUCUGAUACUGUAGUUCAUUCAAUCAGCCUGAUUUUUCUGCUACUCACUGGAUACAAUCACUCCCUGUGUUUUUGUUUUUCUCUCCAUUUUCAUUUUCUUUUACUUAUCAUUUGUGAGUCUAUCAGCAUGCAUGUGUUGCGUGUGUGCGCACAUGCGUGUGUGUAAGUCAAGAGAGGAA
Molecule: long non-coding RNA, 918 nt
Organism: Monopterus albus (swamp eel)
Lineage: Eukaryota; Metazoa; Chordata; Actinopteri; Synbranchiformes; Synbranchidae
Exons: 5
Source: RefSeq, a predicted model, not a curated record